This 337-nucleotide unclassified non-coding RNA is filed under the name soil metagenome. RNAcentral's name for it is "partial contains 5.8S ribosomal RNA, internal transcribed spacer 2, and large subunit ribosomal RNA". The stretch from base 1 to 120 matches the Rfam family "5.8S ribosomal RNA", at positions 35 to 154 of the family's 154-position model. The record is from RNAcentral.
GAUGAAGAACGUAGCGAAAUGCGAUAAGUAGUGUGAAUUGCAGAAUUCAGUGAAUCAUCGAAUCUUUGAACGCACAUUGCGCCCCUUGGUAUUCCAUGGGGCAUGCCUGUUCGAGCGUCAUUUGUACCUUCAAGCUCUGCUUGGUGUUGGGUGUUUGUCUCGCCUCUGCGUGUAGACUCGCCUCAAAACAAUUGGCAGCCGGCGUAUUGAUUUCGGAGCGCAGUACAUCUCGCGCUUUGCACUCAUAACGACGACGUCCAAAAGUACAUUUUUACACUCUUGACCUCGGAUCAGGUAAGGAUACCCGCUGAACUUAAGCAUAUCAAUAAGCGGAGGA